UGGCAAGAUGGCCGAGUGGUUAAGGCGUCACGUGAGUUACCCGUCAUAAUAAUUUACUCUCGUUAUUUCAUACUAACAAAAUCAACAGGUUUAGGAUAUAUAUAAAACAAUUUAUAUAUGAACGAACCGUGAUCCGAAAGGGCGUGGGUUCGAAUCCCACUCUUGUCAC
RNAcentral lists this transfer RNA (169 nucleotides) under Penicillium nalgiovense. RNAcentral describes it as "tRNA-Leu". It matches the Rfam family "tRNA". From Rfam's summary of the family: Transfer RNA (tRNA) molecules are approximately 80 nucleotides in length. Their secondary structure includes four short double-helical elements and three loops (D, anti-codon, and T loops). The record is from RNAcentral. Lineage: Eukaryota; Fungi; Ascomycota; Eurotiomycetes; Eurotiales; Aspergillaceae.